UGUCCACACUCCCCAACAGGGCUUCUGACGGAGGGCAGCUGCAAUGCCCACGCCCGCUGCCCUGGGCAGGCCGCUCCCCUGCCCGCAGCGGCCCUUCCCCAGCAGAAACCGGGCUCAGGCUGCACUGAGCUGAGCCUGCGGCAACGACCAGAGGACAGGGUUGGGCUUCCUGGCCCAGGGCUGUGCCUCAGGGGUCGUCAGACACUGCAUGGCUGGUGAUGAGUAUUUCCCGUGUCAGAACUGAGAAAAUGCCGGAAGAUGAAAUGUUGGUUGCAGUUUCCAAGAGCAAAUGAAUUCUAACCAACUACAAAAGACGCUAUUUAAUCCCGAUUUUGAGUGCUUAAAAUAGGGAGACUCCUAAAGAGGCUAAGGGCGGGGGUUGGGGGGGGGGGAGCUUCCCCAAAAUAUUUCAUCUGCGAAACGAAGAUGAGAAAGACCCAAGCGGUGUUGGGUCUAUACCUAAGAAAUAGCAAGUAUGAAAACUCAAGCAGGAAGGUGUAUUGUAAUUGUGGGACUCCAAUCUGCGGACCGUGGUAGCCGAUUGUCCUUUACUGUGAUAAGCACGAUGUAGGAGCGUCCCUAACUUGAUCUAAACAGACGUCUGAAGCCCUAAAGAAACCUGGCAGCAUCUGUGGUCAGUCUCUCAUUGCUUCCGAAGUAAAAUGUAAACAGCUGAUUUCCGUGGAAUGUUUCCUAUCAAACCAAGGUCCCAUACGCAGCUCUACCUCCUCCUCUCAUGAAGCUUUCGCUGUGCUCUCUACUCCAUCUCCUUUUGGACCCCUAUGUUAUUAAUUUCUACUUACAAGCUGUUUAAAGCGUUGAGCAUUAUGAAGAAGCUUUGUUUUUAUUUAGCACAUGGAUUCAAGGUAUCCUGAUUAUCUUCAUAAAUGUAGAAUGUGUUUGUUCUUUAACCACUUCCUGCUAGCAAAAUGGAGUAAUACUAUGGUAAUAAACAUUUGCAAUUUAAGUAAA
Long non-coding RNA from Psammomys obesus (fat sand rat), 972 nucleotides. RefSeq lists it as uncharacterized. The record is from RefSeq and is a predicted model, not a curated record. Lineage: Eukaryota; Metazoa; Chordata; Mammalia; Rodentia; Muridae. The transcript has 2 exons.